This 447-nucleotide ribosomal RNA is filed under the name uncultured bacterium. RNAcentral describes it as "partial 16S ribosomal RNA". It matches the Rfam family "Bacterial small subunit ribosomal RNA", at positions 29 to 523 of the family's 1533-position model. The record is from RNAcentral.
AACGAACGCUGGCGGCAGGCCUAACACAUGCAAGUCGAACGCCCCUUCGGGGGAGUGGCAGACGGGUGAGUAACGCGUGGGAAUCUUCCUAUUGGUUCGGAAUAACCCAGGGAAACUUGGGCUAAUACCGGAUGGUCCCUUCGGGGUAAAGGUUUAUUGCCAACAGAUGAGCCCGCGGCUGAUUAGCUCGUUGGUGAGGUAAUGGCGCACCAAGGCGACGAUCAGUAGCUGGGCUGAGAGGAUGACCAGCCAAACUGGGACUGAGACACGGCCCAGACUCCUACGGGAGGCAGCAGUGGGGAAUAUUGGACAAUGGGCGCAAGCCUGAUCCAGCCAUGCCGCGUGAGUGAAGAAGGCCUUAGGGUUGUAAAGCUCUUUCCAUCGUGAAGAUAAUGACGGUAGCGAUAGAAGAAGCCCCGGCUAACUCCGUGCCAGCCGCCGCCGUAA